UCCAGACUCCUACGGGAGGCAGCAGUGGGGGAUAUUGCACAAUGGGGGGAACCCUGAUGCAGCGACGCCGCGUGGGUGAAGGAGCGUUUCGGCGCGUAAAGCCCUAUCGGCAGGGAAGAAGGAGGACGGUACCUGACUAAGAAGCCCCGGCUAACUACGUGCCAGCAGCCGCGGUAAUACGUAGGGGGCAAGCGUUAUCCGGAUUUACUGGGUGUAAAGGGGGCGCAGACGGCGAUGCAAGCCAGGAGUGAAAGCCCGGGGCCCAACCCCGGGACUGCUCUUGGAACUGCGUGGCUGGAGUGCAGGAGGGGCAGGCGGAAUUCCUGGUGUAGCGGUGAAAUGCGUAGAUAUCAGGAGGAACACCGGUGGCGAAGGCGGCCUGCUGGACGACAACUGACGGUGAGGCGCGAAAGCGUGGGGAGCAGACAGGAUUAGAUACCCGGGUAAA
RNAcentral lists this ribosomal RNA (448 nucleotides) under uncultured bacterium. RNAcentral's name for it is "partial 16S ribosomal RNA". It matches the Rfam family "Bacterial small subunit ribosomal RNA", at positions 330 to 794 of the family's 1533-position model. The record is from RNAcentral.